UACAGAGGGUGCAAGCGUUGUUCGGAAUUAUUGGGCGUAAAGGGCGCGUAGGCGGUGCUGUAAGUCUGUAGUGAAAUCUCUGGGCUCAACUCAGAGUCUGCUAUAGAAACUGCAGUGCUGGAGUGUGGGAGAGGUGAGUGGAAUUCCCGGUGUAGCGGUGAAAUUCGUAGAUAGUCGGGAGGAACACCGGUGGCGAAGGCGGCGAUCUGGGUAGAGUACUGACGCUGAGGUGGCGAAAAGCGUGG
RNAcentral lists this ribosomal RNA (245 nucleotides) under uncultured bacterium. RNAcentral's name for it is "partial 16S ribosomal RNA". It matches the Rfam family "Bacterial small subunit ribosomal RNA", at positions 524 to 764 of the family's 1533-position model. The record is from RNAcentral.